GAUAAUAAGAAAUUGUGGGUUUAUUGAGUUUCCGUAUCUUGGAGACUGGUUAUCAUGGCGGGGUUGGCGUGACAAAAAACCUAUUCGAUGUCGGUUAUAUAAGGCACUUGGCAACGAGGACAGGCAUGAGAUGUUCUCAGAUACUAUUGUGGAAUACCUACCCAUGUUUGGAUCAGAUACUAUUGUGGAAUACCUACCCAUGUUUGGAUCAGAUCAUAAACCAAUAGUAGCGUCCAUUGCGGAGAAGCAGAUU
RNAcentral lists this long non-coding RNA (253 nucleotides) under Capsella rubella. RNAcentral describes it as "long non-coding RNA (CRUB_LNC001549)". The record is from RNAcentral. Lineage: Eukaryota; Viridiplantae; Streptophyta; Magnoliopsida; Brassicales; Brassicaceae.